This 2428-nucleotide unclassified non-coding RNA is filed under the name Hevea brasiliensis (rubber tree). Lineage: Eukaryota; Viridiplantae; Streptophyta; Magnoliopsida; Malpighiales; Euphorbiaceae. The record is from RNAcentral.
GAAGAACCACUUUAAAGCUAAAUCUCAUUCAUUUGAUCAUAAAAUCGAUCCUCCAAAUGGUACACAAGAAAAACUGAAAAUUGGAUUAGCAUAGCUAAAAUAGGAGUGCAACGCCACAUGUUUCACCACUUUUUCUGGAAGCUUUCCCCAGCGUUGCAAAAACAGGUAAAUUAUACAAUACAUGGGACUUGGGAUUAUGUGCUCUUUCGCUAUAAUUUAUAGAAAAAUCCAUGUUUAUGGGGGCAGAAGAAGCACUAAAAACUCAAUAAUUUCCCCAAAAAUACUAUCUAGUUUUUUUACAGAUUAUUACAAAACACAAGAAGAAAAUUCAGUGGAUAACUUGUUUUGGCACAAUUCCUUCUUCAAAUUGGAAGCACCCUUGAGACUCUUUACAUUGGCUUUAGCCCCAUGAGAAAUCAACAACACAGCAACCUGAACAUGCCCAGCUUCAACUGCACAGUGAAGAGGGCUGUACCCAGCAUCAUCAACCACAUCAACUCGACCACCAUGAUUAAGCAAUACUUUUACGCACUCAAUCCUCCCCUUAAACGCAGCUCUGUGCAGAGGCGUCCAUCCAUUUUCGUCUCUAUCGUUCACGUUCGCUCCCUCUGCAAGGCAACUCCUUAUCCCAUUAACAUCGCCCAAUCUCGCUGCUCUAUGCAACAUAUCUCCCAGUUGCAGCAACCCAUAUAAAUGCGAAUUCCCAUUUUCUACUGCUACACCGAAAGCUGUCUUUCCUUCUUUAUUCACUGCAUAUUUUAUAUAACCUGAGCAUUCUAAUAAGCACUCCACAGCUUCUAAAUGCCCUUUCUCUGCAGCUAAAUGAAGCGGAGUGCACCCAUUACAGUCCACAACGUCGCCUCUUCCUCCAAUUGAAGCACAAAACCGAAUCACUUCAACAUGCCCACAACUUGCAGCGACAUGAAUUGGAGUUCUACCGUGUAAAUCAAUCGAAUUCACAUCAAUAUCUUUGAAAUUACGACAAAGAACCUCAAUCAGAUCCACUCUGUUUAUCGCUGCUGCCUCGUACAAAACCUUAUCUAUUAACUCAUCAAUCAAACAACCAGAGGCGAUCAAUACCUUAACAACGUCUGUAUUUCCUACUUUAACUGCCUGAGUGAUCAUGGACCGUCCCUCUGAGUCCUUACAAUUCACAUCUCCACCGGCAUCUAUCAAUUGCGCUACCAAAUUGGCAUCACCAGAUAAUACAGCGGAUUCUAGCAGGGCAGUGAUCUGGGACCCCGAACACCCAGAUAUAGCCCUAUUAAAAUGGGAAGAGACAUCAGGUAUUUGGGCAUGAUUGGAGAUUAGAUAUUCAGCAACUUGGGGACCCACAAAUGAGAUGGGUAUGGUGGCGUCUUUAAAAAUAUGCGGUCCGGGUCUUGAAAACAGGCGGCGGAGAUCUUCCACAUGGGCCUUGCCGGUGGGAAGCAUGGCUGAUUUAACGGUGAUGACAUCAGGAGGGGCGCGGAUAGUGGGUUGAUCAGGAGACUGAGAGACGACGAGAGUAUAAGAUGAAGAGGAAAGGGGUGGGAUUAUAGAGAAGGCCUGAGUGAAAGAGAAAACAGAUGGAUUUGUGGUGGUCAAGGAAACUGCUACAGACAUGGUGUGCAUGAGGUUGGAUAACCUGAAAGUUGUGGUGCCCUUUUGGCCUCUCUUGAACGCAAUUUCCACUUCCUUCACGUCUGGCUUCACCAGUCUAUCCAUGGUGACAGAACCUCUCUGUAACUCUGUUUUCCCCCUUUCUCAUGAAAAUUGGAAGUCGGGUUUGUCAGGCUGAGAAGGAAAAGAGAGCAGAUGAAGAUGGUGAUGGUGUUGGCUGAAUGCUUCUUUUGCCUUUUGCCUUGGUUGAGGACAAUGACGAUGAGAGGAUGCAGUCUUGAUUGGGUUGUUUGAAUAAGCAGUAGGACUUGGGUAGAAAAGAGGACAAUCGAGGUACUAUCCUUGAUUGGUGGAUGAAGACCUGCCACUUGCUAUUUUGAAUUUUUCCUAGUUUCAUAUUGGUCUGGUGGGACAGUUUGAUGAAAUUUCCAGGUGUUAGUUAAAGGGUCAGAAUCAGAUUUGUUUAGUCGGAUUAGGGCCUGCGGUAUUGCAUGGAAUACUCCACCAGCUUUCGUACAAGAAAUUUAAGCUGACUGACUAUGCAAGCAAUGGAAUCCGCAUAAAACUGUUAUUUUCUGAUCUAUUCUGGCUUGAGAAUGCGACGGCCAAAAGUGCUCAUUUGUCUGUUAGUGUUAGGUCCUUAUAUUUAAUAUUCUGUAUUAUAAUCAGGAAAUUGGUAUGCUGAUUCUAAAUCAGGCUGCUAAUUGACAGAAUAGUAUUUAGUAUGAGAGUUGUUAAUUAGUUGGGUGGUUGAAGGUUUAGUUGUUUUUAGGAAUAAUAUAAGCAGAUUUCUGCAAUGACAUCUGCCCAAAAAAUACAUUUUUCA